This 433-nucleotide ribosomal RNA is filed under the name uncultured bacterium. RNAcentral's name for it is "partial 16S ribosomal RNA". It matches the Rfam family "Bacterial small subunit ribosomal RNA", at positions 29 to 507 of the family's 1533-position model. The record is from RNAcentral.
AACGAACGCUGGCGGCAUGCCUAACACAUGCAAGUCGAACGAGACCUUCGGGUCUAGUGGCGCACGGGUGCGUAACGCGUGGGAACCUGCCCUUAGGUUCGGAAUAACUCCCCGAAAGGGGUGCUAAUACCGGAUAAUGUCUUCGGACCAAAGAUUUAUCGCCUUUGGAUGGGCCCGCGUUGGAUUAGCUAGUUGGUAGGGUAAAAGCCUACCAAGGCGACGAUCCAUAGCUGGUCUGAGAGGAUGAUCAGCCACACUGGGACUGGGACACGGCCCAGAAUCCUACGGAUGGCAGCAGUAGGUAAUAUUGUACCAUGGUCGAAAGCCUGAUCCAGCAAGGCCGCGUGAGUGAUGAAUGCCUUAGGGUUGUAAAGCUCUAUUACCCGGGAUGAUAAUGACAGUACCGGGAGAAUGAGCUCCGGCUAACCCCGUG